GAUCAGUGGCUCAGGACGAACGCUGGCGGCGUGCUUAACACAUGCAAGUCGAACGGAACUCAUUGGAUCAAGACUUCGGUCAAGUGAAUUUGAGUUUAGCGGCGGACGGGUGAGUAACGCGUGAGUAACCUGGCCUAUACAGGGGGAUAACAGUUAGAAAUGACUGCUAAUACCGCAUAAGACCACAGUAUCGCAUGGUACAGGGGUCAAAGAUUUAUCGGUAUAGGAUGGACUCGCGUCCCAUUAGCUAGUUGGCGGGAUAACAGCCCACCAAGGCGACGAUGGGUAGCCGACCUGAGAGGGUGAUCGGCCACACUGGGACUGAGACACGGCCCAGACUCCUACGGGAGGCAGCAGUGGGGAAUAUUGGGCAAUGGGCGCAAGCCUGACCCAGCAACGCCGCGUGAAGGAAGAAGGUCUUCGGAUUGUAAACUUUUGUCGCCAGGGAAGAUAAUGACGGUACCUGGUAAGAAAGCCCCGGCUAACUACGUG
RNAcentral lists this ribosomal RNA (492 nucleotides) under uncultured bacterium. Its description in RNAcentral is "bacterial SSU rRNA". It matches the Rfam family "Bacterial small subunit ribosomal RNA", at positions 15 to 507 of the family's 1533-position model. The record is from RNAcentral.